RNAcentral lists this ribosomal RNA (449 nucleotides) under uncultured bacterium. RNAcentral's name for it is "partial 16S ribosomal RNA". It matches the Rfam family "Bacterial small subunit ribosomal RNA", at positions 338 to 795 of the family's 1533-position model. The record is from RNAcentral.
CCUACGGGUGGCUGCAGUGGGGAAUUUUGGACAAUGGGCGCAAGCCUGAUCCAGCCAUUCCGCGUGAGUGAAGAAGGCCUUCGGGUUGUAAAGCUCUUUCGCAAGGGAAGAAAACUUAUCCUCUAACAUAGGAUGAGGUUGACGGUACCUUGAUAAGAAGCACCGGCUAACUACGUGCAAGCAGCCGCGGUAAUACGUAGGGUGCGAGCGGUAGUCGGAAUUACUCGGCGUGAUUUGUACGUCAGCUGUGAAAUCCCCGAGCUCAACUUGGGAACUGCGUUUGAAACUACAAGACUAGAAUAGGUCAGAGGGGGGUAGAAUUCCACGUGUAGCAGUGAAAUGCGUAGAGAUGUGGAGGAAUAUCAAUGGCGAAGGCAGCCCCCUGGGAUCAUAUUGACGCUCAUGCACGAAAGCGUGGGGAGCAAACAGGAUUAGAUACCCCUGUAGCC